GACUAAAUUGGAAAUUUAUUUUGUAAUAAGGAUUGAAAGUAUAAUGUUAUUUUUAUGGGGAUUUAAUGGAAAUUUGUGAGCUUGGUAUUUUUGUAAAUAAAUAUGUCGGUCAGGGGUAUUUUUGUAAUUGUGUAUUUUCAAUAAUUCGGAUUUGGCCCAAAUUAAUUAGUUAAGGGCUUAAUUGAAAAGCUAAAGGAAAGUUUGGGGGUUAAAUUGGAAUUUUGAUGGAUGGAAUUGUAAGUUAUUAAGAAAGUUGAGGAACUACAUUGUAAUAAGGAAAAGUUUGGGGGCCUAAUGUCGAUAUUGAAAGGAAAGAAAAUCGGGGAAGAAGAAAGGAAGAGAGAGAG
RNAcentral lists this long non-coding RNA (347 nucleotides) under Ricinus communis (castor bean). Its description in RNAcentral is "long non-coding RNA (RCOM_LNC000919)". The record is from RNAcentral. Lineage: Eukaryota; Viridiplantae; Streptophyta; Magnoliopsida; Malpighiales; Euphorbiaceae.